Long non-coding RNA from Mauremys mutica (yellowpond turtle), 2205 nucleotides. RefSeq lists it as uncharacterized. The record is from RefSeq and is a predicted model, not a curated record. The transcript is spliced from 3 exons. Lineage: Eukaryota; Metazoa; Chordata; Testudines; Geoemydidae.
GCUCUUUGGAAAAUCUGGCCCCAUUGUAGUGGAGGACAGGAGCUGCCCCAAGCAAAGAAAGGAUUUAAGCCAAGAUGGUUUGUAGGAAGACAGCAGCUGCCCCUUUCAGCAGAUGCUGGGGAAGAACAGAGGGCCCUGCGGGAGAGGACAUGGAGCAGCUUCAACUCUGGUUGAAGUCAGUGGGAGGAGAGAACGUUCCUGGUGGAGAUUUUUGGAGCUGAACAACAGAGGAUAAACCAGACAGCAUGGGAUCUACAGCAUUGUAAGAGCGACAUGAGAAGAUCUGUGCAGCAGAUCAAAGGGACUUGGAGCACAAAGGAGGUCGCGAUGCAAUAAUCUGCUUACAAGGUGAUAGCAUGAGGGGCGCCUGGCAUAUGGCAAACCAUCUGUAGCACGAAUGCUCCAUCUAUGGAAAAGAAAAAAACAACAACAACUUCCCAGUCCACAAAAGAAUAACUUGCUUAGAUGGAUCAGCGUGGUGAUUUGUCUUCAUUCUCUGAACAAAAAUGAUUUGAUGGAACAUCAGCCAGAUAAAAAGAAUAUCAGGAGGAGCAAAGCUGCACUGUAUAAUAAUCUCGUAGACUCAUCUUUGUCAAUGUCUGUAUGGCAUCCAGUACAGCAAGGCACUAAGUAACAUGGUGACUUGGAGCUAUAGGGAAAUGUGUCCUACUGUGCCAGGCAAGGUGAUGCUCCUCAGACAGCAGAUGCAGAGGGACGAUCCCAUAAAGGCAGAUUAGCCUGCAGUGGGUUUCUCUGUCUGAUGAAGCCCUGAAUAGUGGCAGUCCAGUUCCCGUUGCAGCCAUGUCUGGGUAUCUUGUGAUACUCCAGCACACCUGCUGGCUGGGACAAAGGUCUUUCCUCUUUCUGUCCUUCAUGCUGAAGGACUUGUGCAACAUUGGACCGAUGCUGUUAUCACAGGCAUGGUGCUGUUAACUGCUUCUAACACCCACUGCAGGAUCUAAUGUGUGUACAUAAUAACGUAGUAAUGAGAUCAGUGUCUGUAUCUUGUACAUAUUUUAUGAAUAGACGAGAUAUCGAUAUGUUGGCUGGGAUUUCCAUAGGAGCUUAAGGGAGUUCUGUGCUGUGCUCCCAUUGAAAUGUGUAUGCCUUGCUUACUUAGGAUGGGCUAUUUAAAGGAGCCUAUGAGGCAUUUUACUACAGUGGGAGCAGAGUUAAACCAGUGCUGAAUACCUAUAUAUGCACACAUAAUAGGAAGCCGUAGAGAUUAUAAUCGCCUAGUUGUUACCUUACUCACUGGUGCCUUAUACUCCUCGCCAUGCCUUUGUGCUGUAUCCACAGCUCACUUUAUACACACACUCCUUUGGGCCAGCAAUCGCCUUCUGGUUCUACCUGCUUGCAGUGCCUCGCACAAUGGGGCGGGAUCUGUGGGAGCUACUGCCACGUAAAUAAAACAGCAAGAGGGCUUGGAUAGCAAAGUGAUAGGCAUUCUUGAAAUGAGAGAGAAGGAGCAUAUCUCUGGUUUAUGAACAGUGGAGUCAAUGACAGAGACACUAUCUUUAAGAUAAGGGAGAACAACCAUUUCUGUAAAUUCUCUCUGUUCCAGACUUUGGGGACUGAGAAAGUGUACAACAGAAAGGAGAAGACUAAGAAGAGGAAGGGUAGGCCUGUGGUUUGUGGAUUUCAGAGACCCAGAUUCGACUCCCUGUGUGACCUUGGACUAGUCACUUAGUCUCUCUGUGCCUCUGUUCCCCUUCUGUAAAAUGGGGAUAGGAGCGUGACUACCUCCCUGGGGUGUAGUGAGGAUUAACACAGGAAAGGUUGGGAGUGCUCAGAAAGGACCGUGAUGGAUGCCAUAUGAGUACUUCAGAUCAAUAGAAAUAAGUGCCUCAUAGACCACAGAGAGAUCUGGAGUUAAAGAGCCCAGCCUGAGGUUCAGUCUUCAAGGAGGCUGUGUCCCUUUGGGGUUUGCCAUGAUGAUGAUGAUGGGACCACAGAGAGAGACUCCCCAAGCCAAGGGAAUGCAGGAUGCUUUGGUGUGUCUAUGUUUGGGGCAGACAGAAGACAGAUUGAUAGCCUGCAGUGCUGUUCUGCAUUGCCUUUUAUAGAAGGGACACUCCUGUCCUUAUCCAGAACUGGUUAGCUCAUUUGUCUGGCCAGGACAAGUAAAAAAAAAUUACAGCUGUAAAGUGACUGAAAAAGGGCUGAGCUGAGAGACACAGAAUGACUCUGUCACCUGCUUGUAAA